AGGCCGAUUCGAGGAGCAAAGGCGUCACGAGCUAGAGAUUUAGUCGGUUCGAGGUGAGUAAUGAUUGUAAAUGAUGCUCUGAGGGUUUGAAACCCCGGAUUUCACAUCGUAAUACUUUAUUGAGGUGAGACACACGCUUGAUGAUGAGUGUGGGGUCAUGCACUAUUGGGGAUUGUGACUUGGUUCGUCCCGAUUGAUGAUUUUAUCGCGUAUUUGGCUGAAACUUAUUUGCUAUCAUCAUGAUUUGGGUUGAUUGCCAUAUUUGGGCUUCGUGCCAACUAUUUGAACCUUUCGGGGAUUUUUAUUACCAUUUCCUCACUAUUUUGACUUAUUACUUAAACUCAGUCCCGUUAUUUUCCACUGUUUUACUACUCAGCCAUUUUUACUCAGUUUUGAGACUUAAAUGAUAUUUUAAAUGAUGUUUUGGGCUGAGAGAUACUGUUUUACUAUUGCCCGAGGGACUUGUGAUUAUUUUUGGACUGAGUAAGGCCGAGGGCCUAGUUGUAAGGAUACACUGGUACUGAUAUGAGGCCGAGGGCCUGAGAUACAUAUAUACGCCACGAGAUGGCUUGAUUGAUAUAACGCCGAGGGCCUAGACUUGAUGCCACAAGAUGGCUUGAUAUUGCGCUUGGGCUGUAAGGGGCCCCUCCCAGAGUCUGUACAUCCCCAGUGAGCGCAGGUGCCCAUUGUGAUGUGAGAUUGAGCCCGAGGGGAUGACAUUGUUCUGAGAUUGAGCUCGAGGGGCUGGUACUAUUUCUGAGAUAUUGCCCGAGGGGCAGAUUUGUUGAUACUGUGCCCGAGGGGCGAACUUCUAUUUGUUUACUUACCUUCAACUACUUGUUUUACUUGUUGAAAAGGGAUUUUUACUUGACUCUUCACUGUUUUACUGUUUUAAGUGAUUCUUUUACUGCUUCAUUAUAGAAUGGCUUGUGCCUUACGUGCUUUCUUACCUUCAGUCAUUAUUUAUAUUUAUUAUUUACUGGGUCGGAGUACUCACAUUACUCCCUACACCAUGUGCAGAUUCAGGUAUCGCUGGUUUCGCUCCUCAGUGUUGAUUUCUCCAGUUCCAGGCGGUAUUCGGAGACUACGUGGUAGUUGUUGGCGUACGAAACCGUGUGUCUCUACUAUCUUGUCAUUUCUAUUUCCUUCAAACAUUUGUACUAGAUAUUGGAUUUAGCAGACUUGUAUCAUGGUCUAUAGAUGCUUGUGACUUGUGACACCCCAGUUAGGGUUGUGUCGGGUUCGACAUUUCCACAUUGUUAUUGUUAUUUCCGCUAUUCAGGGUUAUUAAUCAUGUUUA
Molecule: long non-coding RNA, 1300 nt
Filed under: Nicotiana tabacum (common tobacco)
Lineage: Eukaryota; Viridiplantae; Streptophyta; Magnoliopsida; Solanales; Solanaceae
Description: long non-coding RNA (NTAB_LNC006270)
Source: RNAcentral